Molecule: ribosomal RNA, 253 nt
Filed under: uncultured bacterium
Lineage: Bacteria
Description: partial 16S ribosomal RNA
Rfam family: Bacterial small subunit ribosomal RNA
Source: RNAcentral
UACGUAGGGAGCAAGCGUUGUUCGGAUUUACUGGGCGUAAAGAGCGCGCAGGCGGUCGUGCAAGUCGCGUGUGAAAGCCCCCGGCUCAACUGGGGAGGGUCACGCGAUACUGCUCGACUUGAAGGCAGGAGAGGGAAGUGGAAUUCCCGGUGUAGUGGUGAAAUGCGUAGAUAUCGGGAGGAACACCAGUGGCGAAGGCGACUUCCUGGCCUGUUCUUGACGCUGAGGCGCGAAAGCUAGGGGAGCAAACGGG